UUGAGGAAAAGAACACAGGUGUUGUGAGGGAUGAGGAGAUGAAGUUUAGGGAAGAAGAUGGGGGUUGGGGUUACUCAAGAAGAAAUGGCACCACAACUGGUGCAGAAACAAACCUCACCGGUCAGAGGGAAACGUCCAUGGCGCUUAAUAGUGAAGGUCUUGAGGGUUUGAUCCCGCGUGGGAAACUUCUGCUUACCUCGGAGGAACAUUUUUUCUGACAUUUUGGCCGUUGAUUCUUGUAAAUAUUGCACUUUUCCUUGCACUAUAUCUGUACUUUGGAACAGAAUUUUGUUCACGAUGGACGUGAUCAUCCGGCUC
This is a non-coding RNA of Salvia hispanica, 318 nucleotides long. Lineage: Eukaryota; Viridiplantae; Streptophyta; Magnoliopsida; Lamiales; Lamiaceae. The record is from RefSeq and is a predicted model, not a curated record.